UUUAAAGUCUGACCUGCCCAAUGAAUUUUAAAUGGCCGCGGUAUUUUGACCGUGCAAAGGUAGCAUAAUAAUUAGUUUUUUAAUUGAAAGCUGGAAUGAAAGGUUGGACGAGAAAAUAACUGUCUCAAUUUAAUUUUAAUUAUAAUUUUAUUUUUAAGUAAAAAAGCUUAAAUUUUUUUAAAAGACGAGAAGACCCUAUAGAGCUUUAUAUAUUUAAAUUUAAUAGUAUUUUAGAUUAUUUUUAAAUUUUAUUUUUAAAUGUAUUUUAUUGGGGUGAUAGAAAAAUUUAAUUAACUUUUUUUAAAGAUAAACAUUAAUUUAUGAUUAAUUGAUCCAUUAUUUAUGAUUAUAAGAUUAAGUUACCUUAGGGAUAACAGCGUAAUUUUUUUUUAGAGUUCUUAUCGAAAGAAAAGAUUGCGACCUCGAUGUUGGAUUAAAAUUAAUAUUUGGUGUAGAAGCUAAAUUAUUAGGUCUGUUCGACCUUUAAAAUUUUACA
This 496-nucleotide ribosomal RNA is filed under the name Triodontella mimula. RNAcentral describes it as "partial 16S large subunit ribosomal RNA". It matches the Rfam family "Bacterial large subunit ribosomal RNA", at positions 1844 to 2600 of the family's 2925-position model. The record is from RNAcentral. Lineage: Eukaryota; Metazoa; Arthropoda; Insecta; Coleoptera; Scarabaeidae.